UUCACAUACGUUUAAUCAGUUAUAAUGGACAGGUUUUAAAAACGUAAAAAAAAAAAAAAAAAAAAAAAAAAAGCGCCUGGGAACAUUUCAAACCAAAAAAAAAAAAAGUACUACUAAAAAGAGAGGUUUGAAAGCAAAACCAAGAAUUGUUAAAAACAGGACAAUCUGAAAGAAAGCCGUACUUGGCACAGGAUUUAUAGUACGUAUUUUUCUCAUUAAAAUCCCAUAAGGCGGAGAACACCAGAGUGGUUUUAGUUCUGGAUUCUAGAAUCUUGAUUUGGAGGCAUAAAUUAUUUCAUAAUCAUCUGCUUUUGAAACAGGUACAAUAGUACGAGGCCCCCCCCCCCCCAAAAGUUUCUCUCCCCUCCUAGGACAGACUCCAUCUCCAAGUGCUGGCUUUACAAGCUACGACCGGGUCGGAAAGCGUCUUCACCACCGAUGCCUCCCUUGCUCCAGAAAAUUCAACCAAAUAGUAAGUCUUUGUCCAGAGACGGAUGUACAAACGACUGCUGUCCGAGACCAAUUUUCAUAGAGGGGUACCAGAUCUGUCCCAGCUAACACCUCACAGAUAACAAAAAAAUAUUUUCUUUGCGCAAUAUUUAGCACACCGCUGUGACAGACAUCAAGAUUUCCAAUACGGCAAAAGGAAAGAGGUCAGAUACCUCGUAAGAAAGUUUGGUUCACAAUGGGCAGCACGGUCAGGGGUUAGCACUAGGGAGCUGCGUUUGUAUGUCCAUCCCACGUCUGUGUGGGUUCCUCCAGGUUCUCCGAUUUCAUUUCGCACUCCAAAAACCUACCAAGAGGUAAACUGGCUUCUUAUGAAAUUGACCCUAGUAGGAGUUAGGGAUGGGCACCUACAUGGCAGCCACAGACUCCCCUGCUCCACAACCAUCCCUGCACCGUCAGUCCAUUGUAGGAGAAAAGGGCAUCACAAAAGUUUGUUGUAACACAUUUCAGAGUUUAUUUUACGCCUUAAAUUCACUGCCCUGGCAAUGUUAGAGUCCAGAAGGAGAAGCCUGGCGUUCUACAGCCAACCAUUUCUUUACCAAGAGAUUAAAAAGGUCCUCUUCGCACGUUUUGGCACACGACCAAAAGGUGUUUUUUUUUCAUCAGUCUGAGACGGUGUUUAAGUAACAGUUUUUAGCUUUUUUUUUUUACCUGACAUUACAGCCAGGUGAUAGGUAUGCAAUGGACUGCAUAUUUUUGCAGAUCGCACACUGACCCAUUCAUUUCUAUGGGGCAUGCACACAUCCGGAUGUUUUGCAGAUUGGUGUGGCCGCUCCAGAAAUUCUAGAUAAUGUCCUAUUCUUGUCCGUAUUGCCGAUGAGAACAGUUGUCCGUACUUUGCAGAUCCGUUAUAUGUGGACUGGAAAAUUGACAUGACCGCAUGCAGGAAACCUUAAAAGGGAGUCGGCUACCAUCAAAUUCACUCCAAACCAGGCACAAUGCUUUGUAGGGCUAACUCAGCAGAAUGUAAUGAUACCUUUCACUUAGCAAUCAGUUGCUUUAUUCUGGUGAAAAAGAAAUUUUAAUCCAUGUGCAAAUGAGCAGUUAGGUGCACUGAGGGCGGACCCAAGCCACUCUGUGCACCUUUGCUCCUCCUGCUUCCUCUGCCAGCUCCUCCCUCUCCUUCUUGAUUGGUAGGACCAGGUAAGAGGACUAUGCAAGGUCAAUCAAAAGGAGGGAGAGGCCAGCAGAGGAAGCAGAACUGUUAUGUUGUGUCUUUGUAAAUCGUAUAGGGUUUUAGAGAGAUGACAAUUCCAUCCUCUCUGUUUUGUACGUAUAAGUACUGACAAAAAAAAAAAAAGUUGACUUUCAUUGAGAGGCAAGGGUGCACAGAGUGCUUUGGUCCGCCCCCGGUGCACUUAACUGCUCAUUUGCUUAUGGAUAAAAAAUACUUUUUAGCUUGAAUAAGUGUGCGGCUACACGGCACCAUAUGUCGCAUGACUUGCAGAUCACGCACUUCAAAAACAUGGUGACUUGUCUGCAACUUGCUGUCAUGCGACAAUUUUAGAAAUGUGGCUUUGCUGUAAGAAUAUAGACAUGUCGCAGGCAAUUCACGUCUCAAGGAUGAGCAGUCGAGCACGGCAAGCGACACAAAAUGGGUUUUCUGCGACUCUGGCGCAGCUGUCGCUUAGCGACACCACUGACAAUUAUAUGAAAUGUCGCAUGACGCAACGGAUCGCUAAGUGAAAAGUAUCCCUACAAAACACUGGGGAAGAUAUAAGUAAGCCAGGCCUAUUUUGCGCCAGAAUAUUGUGCCUGCUCCAGUUUCUAGACGAUUGGGUUGUUAAAUGUAUCUAAAUCUGUGAGCCAGUACUGGAAAGGGAAGGGAAGAUGCAACACAAUGCUCCACAGGGCUUCAUGCUACCAGAAUGUUACACCACUUUUUAUACCACCUUGGAGUGGAUAUAGUUUCUGUUCAAACCAUGCACCAAAAACCUAAGACUGCAACAAAACACGGAGAAAAUAGGCGCAAAUAAAAAAA
Bufo bufo (common toad) is the source of this 2488-nucleotide long non-coding RNA. RefSeq lists it as uncharacterized. The record is from RefSeq and is a predicted model, not a curated record. NCBI's taxonomy places the organism in Eukaryota, Metazoa, Chordata, Amphibia, Anura, Bufonidae. The transcript has 2 exons.